This 360-nucleotide ribosomal RNA is filed under the name uncultured Spiroplasma sp. RNAcentral's name for it is "bacterial SSU rRNA". It matches the Rfam family "Bacterial small subunit ribosomal RNA", at positions 1032 to 1393 of the family's 1533-position model. The record is from RNAcentral. Lineage: Bacteria; Bacillati; Mycoplasmatota; Mollicutes; Entomoplasmatales; Spiroplasmataceae.
AUACAGGUGGUGCAUGGUUGUCGUCAGUUCGUGUCGUGAGAUGUUUGGUUAAGUUCAGCAACGAACGCAACCCUUGUCCUUAGUUGCCAGCAUUAAGUUGGGGACUCUAAGGAGACUGCUAGUGUAAGCUAGAGGAAGGUGGGGACGACGUCAAAUCAUCAUGCCCCUUAUGACCUGGGCUACACACGUGCUACAAUGGCUGAUACAAAGAGUCGCUAAACCGCGAGGUCAAGCAAAUCUCAAAAAGUCAGUCUCAGUCCGGAUUGAAGUCUGCAACUCGACUUCAUGAAGUCGGAAUCGCUAGUAAUCGCGAAUCAGCAAUGUCGCGGUGAAUACGUUCUCGGGUCUUGUACACACCGC